AAAGUCGUAACAAGGUUUCCGUAGGUGAACCUGCGGAAGGAUCAUUAACAAAUUCAAUAUACACACCGCGAACCGAUCGGGCGAGGCUCGCCUUGCCCGAUGAUAAACGUAAAUGUCGACUGUAAAAAUGAAAUAAUACAACUUUUAACAAUGGAUCUCUUGGCUCUC
RNAcentral lists this unclassified non-coding RNA (168 nucleotides) under Basidiomycota sp. RNAcentral describes it as "partial contains small subunit ribosomal RNA, internal transcribed spacer 1, and 5.8S ribosomal RNA". The stretch from base 1 to 47 matches the Rfam family "Eukaryotic small subunit ribosomal RNA", at positions 1785 to 1831 of the family's 1831-position model. Lineage: Eukaryota; Fungi; Basidiomycota. The record is from RNAcentral.